GAAGAUUCAAGGACAUAUUUCAAGAAGUUUAUGAGGCCAAUUAGAAAUCGAAGUUUGAGGCUGCUGGCAUAUGGUACGAGCACCGACUCAUUGAUGAUAUGGUGGCUUAUGCUCUCAAGAGAGAAGGAGGGUUA
Juglans regia (Persian walnut) is the source of this 134-nucleotide long non-coding RNA. RefSeq lists it as uncharacterized. NCBI's taxonomy places the organism in Eukaryota, Viridiplantae, Streptophyta, Magnoliopsida, Fagales, Juglandaceae. The record is from RefSeq and is a predicted model, not a curated record. The transcript has 3 exons.